GCAUAUCAAUAAGCGGAGGAAAAGAAACCAACAGGGAUUGCCCUAGUAACGGCGAGUGAAGCGGCAACAGCUCAAAUUUGAAAUCUGGCUUCGGCCCGAGUUGUAAUUUGUAGAGGAUGCUUUGGGCGCGGCUCUAACUGAGUUCCCUGGAACGGGACGCCACAGAGGGUGAGAGCCCCGUAUAGUUAGAUGCCUAGCCUAUGUAAAGCUCCUUCGACGAGUCGAGUAGUUUGGGAAUGCUGCUCUAAAUGGGAGGUAAAUUUCUUCUAAAGCUAAAUAUUGGCCAGAGACCGAUAGCGCACAAGUAGAGUGAUCGAAAGAUGAAAAGCACUUUGAAAAGAGGGUUAAAUAGCACGUGAAAUUGUUGAAAGGGAAGCGCUUGUGACCAGACUUGCGCCGGGCAGAUCAUCCGGUGUUCUCACCGGUGCACUCUGCCCGGCUCAGGCCAGCAUCGGUUCUCGUGGGGGGAUAAAGGUCCCGGGAACGUAGCUCCUCCGGGAGUGUUAUAGCCCGGGGCGUAAUGCCCUCGUGGGGACCGAGGUUCGUGCAUCUGCAAGGAUGCUGGCGUAAUGG
Molecule: ribosomal RNA, 573 nt
Filed under: Trichocladium asperum
Lineage: Eukaryota; Fungi; Ascomycota; Sordariomycetes; Sordariales; Chaetomiaceae
Description: eukaryotic LSU rRNA
Rfam family: Eukaryotic large subunit ribosomal RNA
Source: RNAcentral